GCUAAUACCGAAUAAUAACAUCAAUAUCGCAUGAGAAGAUGUAGAAAGUCGCGUUUGCGACGCUUUUGGAUGGGGGUGCGACGUAUCAGAUAGUUGGUGAGGUAAUGGCUCACCAAGUCAAUGACGCGUAGCUGUACUGAGAGGUAGAACAGCCACAAUGGGACUGAGACACGGCCCAUACUCCUACGGGAGGCAGCAGGG
Molecule: ribosomal RNA, 201 nt
Filed under: uncultured Ureaplasma sp.
Lineage: Bacteria; Bacillati; Mycoplasmatota; Mycoplasmoidales; Mycoplasmoidaceae
Description: partial 16S ribosomal RNA
Rfam family: Bacterial small subunit ribosomal RNA
Source: RNAcentral